UUGAACGCUGGCGGCAUGCUUUACACAUGCAAGUCGAACGGCAGCGGGGGCUUCGGCCUGCCGGCGAGUGGCGAACGGGUGAGUAAUGCAUCGGAACGUACCCUGUCGUGGGGGAUAACACAUCGAAAGAUGUGCUAAUACCGCAUACGACCUGAGGGUGAAAGCGGGGGAUCGCAAGACCUCGCGCGAUAGGAGCGGCCGAUAUCGGAUUAGCUAGUUGGUGAGGUAAAGGCUCACCAAGGCGACGAUCCGUAGCGGGUCUGAGAGGAUGAUCCGCCACACUGGGACUGAGACACGGCCCAGACUCCUACGGGAGGCAGCAGUGGGGAAUUUUGGACAAUGGGCGAAAGCCUGAUCCAGCCAUGCCGCGUGAGUGAAGAAGGCCUUCGGGUUGUAAAGCUCUUUCAGCCGGAAAGAAAUCGCGCAGGCUAAUACUCUGCGUGGAUGACGGUACCGGAAGAAGAAGCACCGGCUAACUACGU
Molecule: ribosomal RNA, 482 nt
Filed under: uncultured bacterium
Lineage: Bacteria
Description: bacterial SSU rRNA
Rfam family: Bacterial small subunit ribosomal RNA
Source: RNAcentral